Molecule: long non-coding RNA, 212 nt
Filed under: Capsella rubella
Lineage: Eukaryota; Viridiplantae; Streptophyta; Magnoliopsida; Brassicales; Brassicaceae
Description: long non-coding RNA (CRUB_LNC001187)
Source: RNAcentral
UGGGGAUAAGAAAAAUAACAAAACAUGGAUUAACAAUUGAUCAUAUGAUGUGUUGGAGUCAAACAUGGAAAGAGUUGUGUACUGUUUGGGUUUUAGAGCAUUAUCAUUGUGUUUUUUGUUGGAGAUAAAGGGACAAAGCCCAUUUAUAUUUGUUUGGCAUAUUCUUUUUUUUUUCUUUUUAAGUUUUGUAAUAAUACUGUCGUCAUAUAUUU